Molecule: long non-coding RNA, 791 nt
Filed under: Phasianus colchicus (ring-necked pheasant)
Lineage: Eukaryota; Metazoa; Chordata; Aves; Galliformes; Phasianidae
Description: lncRNA (ENSPCLG00000012307.1)
Source: RNAcentral
UUUAGUCCAAUCUGAAAUACAGAGAGGACAAUUGUCCUUUGAGUUUAAUAGAGCUGUCUCUCUUUGAUAUUCACAGGGCUGGAGCAGCUCUAUGCAUUUGUUCUUGUUUUUGUCUUGACUUAAGGCUGUUUGAGAGAUGCUCAUGUCAGAGAGAGAAGAGCCAUGGCUGAUGUCUGUUGGACUUGAUGGUUUUAGAGUUCUUUUCCAACCCAAAUGAUCCCAUGAUUCAACUGUAUUUAUUGCCAGCGUUAGACAAGGGGUAACAGAAUUAGGAUUUAAAAAGUAAUCAUAAGAUACCUGGGGAAGCAGCAAAGCUAUGGACAUGGGGGAACUCAUCUUCACACCCACCUAUAAAUUCCUGCUCAUGUUCUCAGGUCGUGUACCUGCUGGGAAGUGGGAAAGUGAAGGUGCCUCUAGCAAUGGUAGGACAGAGCAGUGAGGUUUGGGACUUCUCCCCUCUGCAGGGCUUAGCAGCACGAUCACAGGGAACCUGUGAGACUGGCUUGCAAAUGCCCCAGCUGUCCUCCAUCUCUCACACCUGCACACAUUUAUCCCAUAAUUCUUCACUUCGUUUGCUGCUGCUGCUGCCGGUGGUGGGAGAGAAAUUCCGACCAGCAUCUCUGGGGUCGUCCUUUAUCGUCAGAGGAAAACGGUUCGACAAAGAUAAGCAGGAAAAUAACUUCUCGCUGACAUACGGACUGAGACCUAAAAUCUGUGUUACCGUGGUUGGAGGCCCAAGGUUGGCUACGUUUUGGUACCAAGUCCUUCUAUCAUCGAUGUCCACAUAUUAA